This 468-nucleotide ribosomal RNA is filed under the name uncultured bacterium. RNAcentral's name for it is "partial 16S ribosomal RNA". It matches the Rfam family "Bacterial small subunit ribosomal RNA", at positions 28 to 507 of the family's 1533-position model. The record is from RNAcentral.
GACGAACGCUGGCGGCGUGCUUAACACAUGCAAGUCGAACGGAAAGGCCCUGCUUUUGUGGGGUGCUCGAGUGGCGAACGGGUGAGUAACACGUGAGUAACCUGCCCUUGACUUUGGGAGAACUUCAGGAAACUGGGGCUAAUACCGGAUAGGAGCUCCUGCUGCAUGGUGGGGGUUGGAAAGUUUCGGCGGUUGGGGAUGGACUCGCGGCUUAUCAGCUUGUUGGUGGGGGAGUGGCUUACCAAGGCUUUGACGGGUAGCCGGCCUGGGAGGGUGACCGGCGACCUUGGGCCUGCGAUAGGGCCCAGACUCCUACGGGAGGCAGCAGUGGGGAGUCUUGCACAGUGGGCGGAAGCCUGAUACAGCAACGCCGCGUGCGGGAUGACGGCCUUCGGGUUGUAAACCGCUUUCGCCUGUGACGAAGCGUGAGUGACGGUACUGGGUAAAGAAGCACCGGCUAACUACGUG